This 118-nucleotide ribosomal RNA is filed under the name Deltaproteobacteria bacterium. Lineage: Bacteria; Pseudomonadati; Myxococcota; Myxococcia. The record is from RNAcentral.
CCCGGUGGUAAAUAGCGAGGGGGAAACACCCGUUCCCAUUUCGAAUACGGUAGUUAAGCCCCUCAGCGCUGAUGGUACUAUGCUGGAAGCGGUAUGGGAGAGUAAGUCGCUGCCGGGU